RNAcentral lists this transfer RNA (74 nucleotides) under Thermoplasmata archaeon. Its description in RNAcentral is "tRNA-Arg". It matches the Rfam family "tRNA". Rfam says of the family: Transfer RNA (tRNA) molecules are approximately 80 nucleotides in length. Their secondary structure includes four short double-helical elements and three loops (D, anti-codon, and T loops). Lineage: Archaea; Methanobacteriati; Thermoplasmatota; Thermoplasmata. The record is from RNAcentral.
GCCCGGAUGGGGUAGCUUGGAUAUCCUGGAGCCCUGCGGAGGCUCAGACUCGGGUUCGAAUCCCGACCCGGGCA